UCCUGGGGUCAAGCAGCCCCCCGAGGGGCUUAGAUGCGGGCCCUUUUUUGGAACAUCCGCGGCUUCAGCCAUGAUGGCCGACGCCGCCAACUCGUCGAGUACGUGCGAGAUGAACACGUUGACAUCAUUGCCAUCCAGGAAACCAUGUGCACUGAGUUCUCCCUCCAUGAGCUAGACUGCCUUAGUUCCCACCUCUUCGCCUGGCAUUGGCUCCCUUCUAGUGGGACCAUGGGCCAUUCUGGUGGCAUCCUUUUAGGGGUAAAGGAUGCCACCUUUGAGGUGGGUGGCAUGGACCGGGGCGAAUUCUUCGUUAGUAUGGAGAUCUUUGAGCGUGCUCUUAACUUCAAAUGGGAAGUGGUGAUUGUUUAUGGACCGGCGGACCACCACCGCUCCCUGACCUUCCUUGCGGAGCUGCAUCAAAAGAUCUCCACCUCCCUCCUCCCAGUAGUCGUGGGCGGAGACUUCAACCUCAUCCGCUCCCCGGAUGAGAAGAAUAAUGAUCGGAUUAACCUCCCCCGGAUGCAGUUGUUUAACGACUGGAUCGCGGAGCUCGGUCUCCGUGAACUAGAAUGGACGGGCGUCCGGUUCACCUGGACAAACCGCCAAGCUGACCUAAUGCUAUGUCUUGAGCUUACGUUGGUUUUCCCUGAAGAGGAAAGGGUGAUGCAGCAAUAG
This 675-nucleotide ribosomal RNA is filed under the name Triticum aestivum (bread wheat). RNAcentral describes it as "partial small subunit ribosomal RNA". The record is from RNAcentral. Lineage: Eukaryota; Viridiplantae; Streptophyta; Magnoliopsida; Poales; Poaceae.